CGAGGCCUGGCAAGGACAUCCCCAUACGGCAGCAACGUAGAGUUCGAGACACAGCUGUGUUAGAAUUGACGUUGAGACAUUGUCCAGUGCGCAUUAGACUUGAAAGCAUUUCACAGAAUGGCGUCUCUGUGGCCAAUACAGUCUUCGCUGGGGGUCUGCCCCCUGUAUUCUGACGUCACACUGCACUACAAUGAGGAGCAUUCUCUAGGGGACCUUGCCGCCGAGACACAGUGUCCAGGGGCCACCUCACCCAUAAAACACUCCAAGAAGAUAUUCAACUUCUUUCGUUUUGGGCGACUAAGACGAAGGAGCAGCUCGGGAGAGAAAGGGAACUGCCCGGGUGAGGCAGAGAGGACCCCCUAAACAAGUUCCUGACCUCUAGUGGGUUCAGAGACUGACUGUCACUUGUGGCAGGACAUGGGUACCGGGCCGUUGAGGCGAACUCAGUACGUUGUGUCAUGUUUCAGACAACCCAGAGAGCAUGUUAAAGGACACGUUGAAGUGUGCUUUGGACCUGAUCUCCAAUAUAAAUAUAGUUUGAAUACAGCUUGUUGCAGACAUUUAUUUAUUUAUUAGACGGGGUAGAUGGCUAAAUCCCGGCAUCGUGAACAAAGAAUCAAUUCAAAAUAUGGCGUGCAUGUUUGGCGCAUACGUUAUAACUAAUGACAUCAUUCAGCUAAUUUCGAAAUGAUGUUGAGUGUACAGUA
Long non-coding RNA from Lingula anatina, 707 nucleotides. RefSeq lists it as uncharacterized. NCBI's taxonomy places the organism in Eukaryota, Metazoa, Brachiopoda, Lingulata, Lingulida, Lingulidae. The record is from RefSeq and is a predicted model, not a curated record.